This is a long non-coding RNA of Manis pentadactyla (Chinese pangolin), 2320 nucleotides long. RefSeq lists it as uncharacterized. The record is from RefSeq and is a predicted model, not a curated record. NCBI's taxonomy places the organism in Eukaryota, Metazoa, Chordata, Mammalia, Pholidota, Manidae. The transcript is spliced from 2 exons.
UUGCCACAGCGGGACUGUGACCUGAGGACAGGAACUGCAGCUCACUCAUUCUGCAGGUGAUCGCAGGUGGACACGGAGGGCCCCUCACGUGCUGAACAUCGUAUACACGAGGGAUGUGAUCCAUGCCACAACGCUUAAGGUGACAAGGAACCUCAUUUGACAAAUGAGAAAACAGGCUCAGAGAGGUUCAGCCAUUUGCACAAGCCUGGCUGGACCUGAGCCUGGGCUUUUUCAACAGCACAGUGCCGCCCCUACAGGGACCCCAGGACCCCAGGAUGUAAACGGGGCCUAGCAGGUAGGCAGAUGAGACCAGCACAGUGCAGCGGUACCACGAUCAGGGAGCCCUGGGGCCUGUGGGAGCCUGGCAGGUCGGGAGGGGGCAUGGAGAAGUCCUGGCAUGGGGGUCAGCCGGUGAGGAAGAGGAGCAGGGUGUCUGAGACUAAGGGAGCACUGUGGCGAAAGCAUGGAGCUGUGACAGAAUGAUGUGCCUGGGGAAUCAGCUCUUUAUGUUUUCCUUUUGGUGGAGUGGAAAAUGUGUGCUGGAGAGGAGGUGUUAGGAGAAGUCCCAGCUCUCAGCCAGAGCGGCCCGGAGACAAGGUUGCUUAUUAGAUGUGCCAGUGGCGACGCCCCACGAGAGCCUGGCACUUCCAGACGCCUCGGCAGGUGGAACAGGGACGGAAACCAGCCGGGCAGAAUGAACAGGGAGAGCCAGAAUAACCUGCGUCCAGGGGCCCAGGGCCAGUUGCACAAAUGGAAAAGUUACUGGCAAGGCUUUUUUUUCCUCCCAAAUUAUCUUUCAAAAGUACAUCUCCUGAGGCUGAGACCAGGAGGUCUGUUUCCUGGGCCUGUGCCCAGAAGGUUCUCGGUACAUUCCGUGGACAUUCUGUGGGUGCUGCUCCACACCACUGGGCGUCGUGGGAGAGGCUUUCACAGGAGGUGGCCAGCGGCCCUGCACCAGGAAGGGCCAGCCCAGCAACGCCGUAAGGCUGCCCUGCCCACUCACACAGCUGGGGUUGGCCUGACCCACAUGAACGUCCCCAGCCCCACCCAGGCACAGUCAUCCAGCUGCCCGAGACCAGGAGGGCCACGGCCAGGUGGACAGCAGCUUUGGGUGGGGAGGUGGGGAUAAAAUUCCCUUCCUGGGGUAGGAACAGAGGGCGGCCACCUGUGCCUGGGAGGAGCUGUGGACGGUGGCUGGGAGGACUGGUCUGGGGGAGGCUGAGGAUCAGGGAGGCCUGAAUAGCAGCGACGGCUCCUGAAUGAGACAGCUGUCUUCAGACCCCCAGGCAAGCCCCCGUGGCCCUGCGCCUUGGUUUCCUCGGCUGUCACGUGGGCGUGGCGGACAGAGCAGGGAGUUACUUAUAAUAGUACAGCCCCGGAAAUAACCCUCGUGUCCAGCAGCAGGGGAGCAGCCAAGUACCUCAUCUGGAAGCUGGCUGUGAUGAUUCUGCAAGGGUCGCCACCACGCUCCACCUGCUGAGAGCCCCUGAACCAGGAGCAGUGACUCCAGCUCCGAAAUUCCGGUGUGGCUGCUUCUCCUGUAGCGCUUGGCUGGGUCCUCCACGCGCCUUCCCAGCAGGACGCACCUGCUAAGGGCCCCCAAAUACUCUCAUGACACUCAGCUUCUGUUGCUCAGUGAGCAUAGUAAGUCCCGCCUGCCUUGCGGUCUUGCUGGGAGGACACAAGACUGCCUGGAGAGCACUUUGUAAACUGGAAAUGACUGCUAAGACUGGGGGGCUGACAGCACCAGCCUUCAAGCAAGAAGCCUCAGGGCCUGGGCUGCCAUCAGGGCGCAUAUCUGCUCCUCCUUCACUGUUUCACGCGCCGUGGCCCAGAGGUGGAUUUUAUGAUUAUUUAGAUACAUUAUAUUUUUAUUGUAAACAAAAAUAAUGCACACACUUAGGUAAAAGAAUAAGUCAAAUAACCCUAAAAUGUUCAGAAGAAAUGAACUAUCUCCCUGGCCCUCCUGGCCUUGUCACUCCCCAGAACGACCAGUUUCCACUGUGGUUGUUCCUUGGGUUUUGGCCUCCACAGUUCUCAGUAAGUGUUCCCACUGCUAUUGAUGUUUCAAUUCCAGACAUUUUUAUUACCUUCUGGUCGUGACAAAUGAGGCUUCAGAUCUCCUGCUUCCACCUACAUCCCUUGGCAUCCCCUAAGGGGUUCAUCCAGUUCUUCCUUAACCUCUGGUCAAGGGUUUUAUUAUGAUUAUGUAAAUGUUACUCCAUGAAAGUCACUAAGGGGUUCAGUGACAGUCCUUUGCUCUUUCGGUUUUGUUUAUGCCCUGGAGUGUAAUGCAUUAAAAACCAGCCAAAAAACCAAA